RNAcentral lists this long non-coding RNA (527 nucleotides) under Canis lupus familiaris (dog). Its description in RNAcentral is "lncRNA (ENSCAFG00000056919.1)". Lineage: Eukaryota; Metazoa; Chordata; Mammalia; Carnivora; Canidae. The record is from RNAcentral.
UAAUAAUCGAGAAUAACUUGGGGAGGAGUUAAAGCUACAGCCAUUCAAGAGUGUAAAAGCAGCUAAGUUUUCUCAGGGUUGUUUACAGACACUGGCCUCUGUUUCUAGCAAGCAUGAGAAUCUGACUUCUCCAUUUGAUUCCACAGAUUUAAUCAAGACUCUGCAGUGCUUCUGAGCAGACAAAAAGGACGUUUUGGCUAACUGACAAUACAAAUAAGGCUUGGAUGAGAAAUCCAGAAGAAAGUAUGUGUGAAAGAAAAAGAUGACAUCUGUGCAUGGCAAAACAAAUCCAAAGAUUAUUACAAUAAAAACAAACGGAGGUCAAGAGAACACUUACUAGUAAAGGAUUCUACGACUUCUGCACACUCCCUUCCAACUCCUGCUUGAGUCCAAGACUGGAGGACACUCCUUGCUCUCUCAGCCAAAGGGAAGCAGGAAUUAAAGCAGGAGUGAAGAGAAGAACAAGACCACCUAGCCUCUAGCUCAAGUUGGGAUUGAAGCAGAAUUUCUCUGUCUGCCAAGCCCCC